AACGAACGCUGGCGGCAUGCCUAACACAUGCAAGUCGAACGAGACCUUCGGGUCUAGUGGCGCACGGGUGCGUAACGCGUGGGAACCUGCCCUUAGGUUCGGAAUAACUCCCCGAAAGGGGUGCCAAUACCGGAUAGUGUCUUCGGACCAAAGAUUUAUCGCCUUUGGAUGGGCCCGCGUUGGAUUAGCUAGUUGGUAGGGUAAAAGCCUACCAAGGCGACGAUCCAUAGCUGGUCUGAGAGGAUGAUCAGCCACACUGGGACUGAGACACGGCCCAGACUCCGACGGGAGGCAGCAGUGGGGAAUAUUGGACAAUGGGCGAAAGCCUGAUCCAGCAAUGCCGCGUGAGUGAUGAAGGCCUUAGGGUUGUAAAGCUCUUUUACCCGGGAUGAUAAUGACAGUACCGGGAGAAUAAGCUCCGGCUAACUCCGUG
RNAcentral lists this ribosomal RNA (433 nucleotides) under uncultured bacterium. Its description in RNAcentral is "partial 16S ribosomal RNA". It matches the Rfam family "Bacterial small subunit ribosomal RNA", at positions 29 to 507 of the family's 1533-position model. The record is from RNAcentral.